CACUAAGAAGCUAUAUUAGCACUAACCUUUUAAGUUAGGGAUUGAGAGCAUCCAACUCUCCUUGGUGG
Molecule: transfer RNA, 68 nt
Filed under: Tetracerus quadricornis (four-horned antelope)
Lineage: Eukaryota; Metazoa; Chordata; Mammalia; Artiodactyla; Bovidae
Description: tRNA-Lys
Source: RNAcentral